This 659-nucleotide unclassified non-coding RNA is filed under the name Bombus terrestris (buff-tailed bumblebee). RNAcentral's name for it is "misc RNA ENSBTSG00005022419.1". The record is from RNAcentral. Lineage: Eukaryota; Metazoa; Arthropoda; Insecta; Hymenoptera; Apidae.
UUUUAAUCUCUCGCGUAAUUUCUCGUGUUUGAUUUUAUCGCGCCUUCUUUUUUUAAUUAUUCGAGCACUUUCAUCACUUGUGCUAAAAUUUCUCUGAUUAUUCUUCCUCUAAAUUUCACGUAUCUGUCGCACUUCAGCUCCUCACUACUGUUUCACACUAUUUCCUCCGAUCUCCCAGAUCGUUGUCUUCGCAUGCAGGUAUCUCCUAUCGUUACCCAACCGCGACUUCGAACUUCACCGUUUUAACUACUCGAUCGUACUACUAUACAUUCGCGUUACUACGAUGUACAUCUAGCUAGCUGGUUCAGGUAUAUCUCUCGACACGAUUGACCGAUUAUCUUUCACGUUCGAACGCCUCAUCCCGGACACGGUUCAGCUUUGUCCAGAUCCGGAGAUCGGCUAGUGGUCGCGUGGUCGCGUACAUUCGAUCGAUCCCGUGUCGCACGCCGUUCAGACGACCGUCCCUUCCAACGACGAUCCACCGGUACCGCAUAUCACCUGCACCACCAGGAAAGUACAACACGGACAAGUACAGAGAAACGUGUAAAUCGUCGUUUCCUUCGUAUUUCCUUCGAUCGGACGUCGACGAAUUUCGAAAAAAGCAUCGAGACGAUGAUGAGCACGUGGUUCACUCGCUGAACCUGGAAAUCUCGAUGAUC